GUGAGCUAUGAUGGCACAAAUGCACUCCAGUCUGGCCAACAUAGCAAAACACUGUCUAAAAAUAAAAACAAGAAGAAAGUAUCAAGUACUAAGUUAUAAACCUUAGCUUCCUCCCUUAUCAACUAAGUUGCUCCCUUACCCUAAGAAAUCCUGGACAUGGCUUUGAAUUUAUUCCCUGAAUUGGCCUAAUUAACCUCUUAGAUAUUAUCCUUCUUGCCAAUCUGUGAGAUGAACAGGCCUCAUUCAUACUUAGGCAGUUCCUCUAGUCUCUGAAGAGGUGGGGUUGAAUUACAGGUAGGUCGUAUUUAUGCAGCCAUAAAGGAAGAAAGGAUUUAGUCCGGUGAACAGAUGACAAAGUAUUGGCAUAUUAAUCCUGUAUUAGUCCGUUCUCAUGCUGCUAAUGAAGACAUACCCGAGACUGGGUAAUUUAUAAAGGAAAGAGGUUUAAUUGACUCACAGUGACAUGGCUGGGGAGGCCUCACAAUCAUGGCAGAAGAUGAAGGAAUAGCAAAGGGACUUCUCACGUGGUGCACGUAAGAGGCUGUGUACAGGGAAACUCCCUUUUAUAAAACCAUCAGAUCUCCUGAGACUUAUUCACUAUCAUGAGAACAUCACAGGAAAGUUCCACCCCCAUGAUUCAAUUGCCUCCCAUUGGGCCCCUCCCAUGACGUGGGAAUUAUGGGAGCUAAAAUUCAAGAUGAGAUUUGGGUGAGGACAUAGCCAAACCAUAUCAAAUCCUAAGUAACAUGAGCAUUUUAUGAUGUUGUAAAAUCACUCUUCUUUGUUUUCAUUGUUUCAUGAGAUAUGGAUAAGACGAUUGUGUUGGUAUUUAACAAGGUUUGAAAGAGGUAUGUUCAAAAUUUGGUAGAUUUUUAAAAAUUUAAAAAUAAUUGUUGGGGAGAAAUAGUUCUUCCCUACUUACGUGGCCUUCUGUGCAGAGGGAAUUUUAUCAGUGUAAGGCUCCUGACUGCUCUGUCCCUUCAUCCACUCUGCCUCAAAGCAGCUAGACUGAUGUUUGGAUUGGUCAAUUUGAAAUGAAUAUGAUUAAGUUUAGUACCUCUGUCCUUCUUCCUUUGGGAGUGAGCUGCCUACAUGAUAAUCCUUUUGCCACCACUCUGUGGGGUCAGCCUUCUCCCCAUCUGCAGGAGGCAGCUCUCACCUACUUACCCUGAGUUCAGUGGACAGUAAUGACACCCAACCACCUUGUUCUGAGUUGUGUCUUACAACUUAACCUUUAAUAACUCAGCUCUUACCUCUUCACUUCCUGUGUCUUAUUUUUCUAGAUGUUCAUCACUUUAACUGGGAAAGGAGAUACUGUGUAUUAGACCCCCAGCCCUCAAAACUCCGACUACAGUGAACACUAGGCUACACAAUGGGCAUAAAAAUAAGAACUGUUGAUUGUUUUUGCAAGGUUAGUAGUUUGUAUUAGGUAGAAGAAAGGGUGGGUGAAUCUUCUUUCCUUCAAGGAGCAUAUAAUCACACAUAAACGGUUAGAAGCAAUAAGAGAGGGUCUGUAGGCCUUAAUGAGUGGAGCAGACAGAACUAAGGAAAAUUAGAGGAAAAAGAUACUGGCUGGAAAGCCUAAUAGGGAGGUAAAAUUUCAGCUGAGCCCUAAGGAAAGGGUGGUACAUGCAUUCCAAAAAGUGCAGUGUUCUAUUAAUGGAAAAGUAAGCACAUCAGGCUGGUUCUGUUGCAAAUAUAUAUUUAUAAUUACUUCCUGUAAGUAACUGAAAAGUCUAUCAUUACACUAAAAAAUGUAAAACCUUCUAUAAAACCGAGGUCAUAGCAGCAGCUGCAACAUCAGCAUGUUCUGUCUCACUCUGCAGAGACAGCACAACUUCCAGUGCUAUUCACAAUGGACUUGGGAGAAAUUUGGCAUGAAAUAACCAUGAUAUUUAAUGAAGAAAACAAACCUCUGAAAGUUGACGCAAAAGCUGAGGUCUCUUCCGAGUAACCACAAUGGACAUGCUAACCAAAGAUGGGACUAACUCUGAGAACUUAAAGCCAACAAGGGGAGUUGGCUGCACCUGCAUCAGAACAAAAUGUGGUGGUUGGUCCCUGACCCGGCAUAAGACAGGAAAGUCACCUGCGUGGUAGAAUUGUGGGCACCAGCACACACUUCACUCAGGUGAAGCCUCAGUGAGAGCCCUCCUGUCCUGUCCUGCCCUAUCCCAUCCCAUCCUGUCCUGAGAGAUGGAGGCUUUUAGAUAAGCAGAGGGAAGAGGGGAAGACCCCCAGCACUUGGAGGGAGAAUAAAAACCUCAGGCAGGAAAACAUAAGAGGUACUUAGAGAAGACAGGGCAGGAGGGUAGAAAUCUUGAUGUCUAUAAGCCUUGGUUGACUUUGAAGAUUUAUCUUUUAAUGCCAUUAUCUCAUGUUAAUUAAUAAUGGCAACUUCACUUUCUGUCUUCAUGGCAUUGUGACACUGCCUUUCAGAAACCACAGUGAUGUUUACAGAUCUGCUUUUGCCUGGUUUUUCUAUGAAUAAACUGUGCGCUGAGCCAGCCACAAACUGACUCAGGCCUUCUUAUGACCAGUACCAGGCACUCACACUGCUGUUGGCCAAGAGCUUCCUAUGGCUGCACAGCAGAGUCAAAUUAAUACGAAUGCCAUCCUUACAUUUGGGAGACAGGCUAACAGUUUACAGGCUCCAGAGCACUUUCACAUCUCUUCACAUUUAAUCCUCGGAUCACAUCUAGUGUUCAUCAGGCACAACUGGAAGGCCACGUGCUAGUGGACCACAUCUGGAAUAGCCUGUGUUUGGAGAGACAUCUGGCACUCUCCCCCAUCACCUUCCUUCUUCUCUCCUCAGAGAACUUGGGAUAUGGAGUCAAGACACCUGGCUUUCAGGCCCAGAUCUUCUAUUAACUGACGAGGGGCUUGUGGGCAAGCUCACGCCACUUAUCUGGGUAUAAUUGCGUACUGGGUGAUUUCUAAAGUAGAAGUUCUUCCUGCUCCAAGAUACUAUUAUGCUGUGACAAUCUAGAGAAGUAGACAGUGAUGAUAUUGAUACUUUCCUUAAAAAUGGGACCCUGUUAUUCAGAGAAUUUAAUGACUCCUCCAAGAUUACACAGAUGGUAAGCAGCAACAUCUCUAAAUGUUUCAUUUAGUGUUUUUUCCACUAUGUCGCACACGUGUGUGAGCACAAUGUGGAUUAACCUUGACCUGCUUAGCUCUAGCUCAGAUAACCAGAUGCAGAUGGAGGAAUCCAUGCUUUCAGCGAAACUAUAUUAAUUACUUGGACAGUAUGUGGCUAAAUAAGAUUCCACAAACUGACAGCUUGCAGACAGAAUUUGUCCUGAAGUUCUGUUUUAUUUGAACCCUAGAGUGUUUUAUUUAAAAAAUUUGACAUGUUGCUAUAUUUUAAAUUGGGGAUAUUUACAUAAAAAUCCAAAAUUUCAAGUUCUCUUAAAAAGCCAAAAGAUUUGGCAACAUGGCAAUAAUGGGCUGAAAUGGGUUCAUCAUUAUAUUGUCCCUUCAGUUAGUAUUUUCCUACUUCCAUACUGUUGACAUUUGGGGCUGGAUAAUUCUUUGUUGUGGAGAGACUGUCCUGUGUAUUUUGGGCUGUCUAGCAGCAUUCAUAGCCUAUACUUACCAGAUGCCAAAAGCACCUACCCCUCUGUUGUGACAAUCAGUGUGACAUUGCCAAAUGUCCUUUGGCUGGGGGGCAGAAAAUUUCCUUAUGUUGAGAAUGAUUGCUGUAGGCAUUUGAAUAGGGAUCCUUGGGAAACAGAAGAGCUAGAGAAGAUGUAGUCAGAUGCUCUCAGUUUACAGAGAAGGAAACUGAAGCCCAACCAGAGAGGUUAAGUAACUUGCCCACAGUGACACAACUGGAACAAUGGUGACAGACCUAGGACUGGAACCCGGGUUCUCUGACGCCUUGUGCAAUGCACUUUUUACCUUAACCUGCUUCCAAAGCCCUCACCUGUCCACUGUGUGGAAGGACGAGUACAUUAAUUUGCUAAUUUCCUACCCACUUGAUUUUCUGAUCAUGAAGGUCUGACCGCUGCUUUCCCUUUUGUAAGUGUGUCAGAGUCAAACAGAGCAGCCCUCCAUUCCAAGGGAGCAUUUUCUGGAUACAGGCCGCCCAUAUUGUUUGACUCAGAUAGGAAGGGAUGUUGCAUAAACACUUACCUUAUUCUCUGAUCCAGUCAUUUAUGUAAGAUUGUCCUCAUCCCAGCCAAUUCAGAUCAUCAGUCUCUUUUGCAUUCUUGAAUCAACAUUUCCUCUGAAGCCGCUUAGAAAGUGUGCAGCCAGAAACAAAUGUUUGUGUGAAGUCAUUUGUCACUCUGCAAAUUCCUUAGAAAUGUGGUUAUACAACAGUUGGAUAUCAUUGAUAUGCUUGGAAUUUGUUUCAUCAUCUCAGAACUCAUCCUUUUUGAUAAAAACAAUUUUAGAAAACUAUUAAUGAUUUCUCACAGGAAGUAUUUUCUUUUCACAAUAAUAAAUUCCUCUGAUGUGAGAAAGUACCUACCAGGCUCACUGGACCAGAAGCCCUGAAUGCUUAGUUUUCAGUUUUAGCUCUGCCACUAUCUAACCUGAUGGCCUAAACAGGGCCAUAUCUUUCUCAAUGGUGUUUGGGCGACCACUAAGAUCCCUUGACACUCUCAUAUGGAUCAUAUUAGAGUCUGUUAGAGUCCUUGUGAGCUUUCUCCUAUUACUGAGUCUUGUUUUACCUGGUUUGACUGCUGAAGUUUUGACAGAAAAAGCCCAGAACACACCUGUUGUAAAAUGUUAUUUAUUUACCAACUUACAGUGGGACCAGCCCACAGGUUAAUUCGAAGUUUUUCUAGUUGUCAGUGAAAUAUCUUAGUUAGAAAGUAACGUGCCAGACAGUAAAAUAAUUUUAAAAUCUGCUUUGUGGGUACAGUAAGUCUCCCCUUAUCCAAGAGGGAAAAGUUCCAAGACUGCCAGCGGGUGCCUAAAACCAUGGAUUGUAGGAACCCUAUCCAGCACAGUUCUGUUCACGUCCACCCACAAAUUUAAUACCUUUUUCAUCCUAACUAAGCACUUAUCAUGUUCUGUGGCCAUAGCUUUUCAGUUUAAAAGGCAACAGCAAAACUAGCACACAUUUUUUUCCUCUUCACAAUUUAACAGAUAGAUUUGUUCUUAGAUUUCAGACUUCAGCAUACAAUUCCUUUUUUCUUAUUAAGUUGAGAACCUCCUUGUUUUCAUGUAAAGCAGACUCUUUAUGGCUUCUCUUUGGCGUGUCCAAAUUGUCAGCGUCACUAUGCUUGUGGUUGGGGCCAUUAUAAAGUAACAUAAGGGUCUCUUGGACACAAGAACUCUGAUACUAUGACAGCAAAUCUGUUAAUCAGGAAUUCUACUAAGUAAAUCACCGACAGGGAGGGUAGACAGCAUGGAGACGCUGGACCAAGAGAGGAUUCACAUCCUGGGUAAGGUGGGGAGGGAGGGCACACAGUUUAAAACUUAUGAAUUGUUUAUGUCGGAAUUUUUCAUUUAAUAUUUUCAGACCAUGGUUGACCCCAGAUAACUGAAACUACAGGAGUGAGAACACAGGCAAAGAGUUACAACUGUAUAUGCUUCUUGGGUGUCCUACUGAGUGUCAGAAUCACUUGAGAAUGCAAUGAUGCAGGAAUCAACCUCCUCCUGCCUCCCACUCCCCUUAGAUCUCCCCCUCAAUCUGGUAGGACUUUUCAUAAAUUGUGACCUGAAAUUUACGGAGGGCUGUUGUGUGACCACUCACCACUGCAGCCACAUGGCCAUAAAUAUGUUCUCGUUUUCUUGUCUUCUAUCCUGGCACAUCUCUCUCUCUGGCACAGUGUCCGUCCACCUCAGCUUCUGAUUGUCUCUUUCUUUUGAACUUGAUAGGGGAUCGGCACAUGAAAGACAGGUGGCUAGAAAGCAUAACAGAAUUGCCACAUAUGCAGGAGUUGUGUGUCACCUCCCUUGUGUAAUGUUUGGGUGGGCUUGAUUAUAAGGUCCAUUUGAACAAGUAGAGGAGGGGAACAAGUGGGACAGAGGCUCAGAUGCAUGAAUAGUGUGUUAAGGAAGCUGCAAUUUGGACUCACCCAAGACACACCAGAUUCUCAACAUAGAGCUGUAAGACUCCAUGCUAGAGAAAUCCUGAUCAGGAUUAGUUGAGGCAUUGGGCAAGGCUGGACCUAUGGAUAAAGCCUUCAGUACGCAGAACUGAGCAGGUCUAGGAGGCCAAUACGAACAAUUCACUUCAUCUCCUAACCUCAGUCAUUCAUAAUCUGACCCUUAUUGUAAGUCUCUGUGUGAAGAGAGACUUUUGUCUUUUUACUAAGAAGGAAAUCAAAUUGCCUGACUUAAAUUUUUGCUUAAUAAAACAAUGUUAACAAUUACCAAUUGAACAGUGACUUUAUGUCAGACAUUCUGCCUGUGUAUUAUUUUAACAGAACGUCGCAGGGAACUUUAAGGGUAAUUGUUGGCUGUUCUUGUGUAUGCCUUUUUACUUGCUUUGUUAAUUAAAAAACUACUGAGUUUUAACUGGGCCCAUGGUAUUCCAGCUAAAGAUUACAUCUUCCACCUUGCCUUACAGAUUAAUGUGGCCAUGUGAUUAAGUGCUAGCUCACUGGAUGUGGACAGAAAAGGUGUGAACAACUUGAGGUUUAUGCCCAUAAGGAAGGAUUGUGUCUUCUCACUCCCCUUCUCCUUUCCCUCUGGCUGGAAGGUGAACAUGAGGCAGGAGUUGAGAAAAGACAGUGUAGCCAUGAGAUGAAAGCUGAGUAUUUCUGAAGAUGCAGAACAGGCCAGGCGGAGUCUGGUCCCGAGACUGUGGAACCGCCCUCUCAGCUCUAGACUGAUUAUGUUCAGAAUAGCAUGAGAGAGGAAUUAACACCUGCUUCUUUUAAGCCACAAUUAUUUUGACUUUCGUUACAAUAGCCAGACCUGUUUCCUAAUGGUUACUGGUUUUCAUUUUGUAUCCUUUGUGCAAAUGAGCAUCUAAGCCUCAAAAAAGACAAGACAAAUAACUAAUCUAAAAUUGUUUCUGAAGUGGUCCCCUCAUACAGCUCAAAUACAAUGCUUUCUUGUAGAAUUUAUCUCUGAUAUGGAAAUGCUAGUGAAAUCAUACAGCCCUCUCCCCAUACCACAGGAAUGCCCAGCUCUGAACAAAGGGUACCUUUGGGAACAUGUGCCUGGCUCGGUUUUCUUAUGUGUGAGCCCAUGUCGGGGGUAGGCAGGGAUGCAUUCUUUGUUCAUUUCCAACCUGGGACUCCAUCCACAUCACAGGCCGGGUUCAUGUGAAGAUUAAAAUAACCUACGUGGUGGUUCAAUACAUCAUAAUAAUUAUCACAUUUUCCUAGUAUCAGUAUUACUACUAUUUAAGGGCUUAUGUUUGGAAUUUCAUCUAUUUAAAGCAAAGUUUUAGCACCAAAAUCAAAAAUAUGUUCCAAGGUACUUUAUUUGUUCACUUAAAAGUUUUAAAUAUUGUAUGUUAGUGAGAUUUGGGUUGUGAGAGCUGUGAUAGCAUCUCUGAUUUACUUUUUUCUCAGGGGACUGAGGGGCUACUUGUGAGAUGGCAAAAAAGAGAUAUGGCAACCAGAAUAUCCCUCAGUCAUCCCUGACAAGUUCUCUUACAUCUUCACACAAAGUAAGAGGGCUGCCACUUCACAGUAAUCUCAGCACUCCUAAUGCCAUUUGGAAAAUUCUAGACUUGGAUUAAGCACUACUCAGGCAGGACAGCUCAUGGAUAUCUGUGAGCCAUGACUUGAGGCCCAUCAUCUCUGAAGCUAUUUCCAAGUUAGUCAGCAUCAUACGAACAAACAGAGGGAGAGGCAGAAAGAGAAAUUUCUUUUCCUAUAAUGUAUAUGUUAUGUUAACAAUAGAAUACAAUGAAGUUAAGGGAUCAUGUAUGAAUGUAAAAGCCCCUGCAUCACCACUGUGUUCAGUACUUUAUGUAUCACCUUUGUCUUUUCCACAAUAUGCUUCUUACAUGUUCCCCCACUCUUGCCAUAGUUACCUUUCAAUUGUCAAAUGUUGUUUUCUUAGAGCAUCGGGGUUCUCAUUUGCUAGACUUUUUUUUUUUUUGCAGUUUAUUAUUAUUUACCUCUCUUUACUAAACUUUAGCAUCUUACCUAUAUUAUGUCCUUUUUAUCAAAGUUAAGUGAAAUAUAGAUCUUGAAUUUUCUCUUUCUUUAAUAAUUUCUUAUUGCUUGAGGAAUAUAUUCCUAUAAUAUUGUAUAUGUGACUAGGGGGCCAGAUGGGACAGGAAAGGAAAAUGGUUUCUAAGUGAUUGAAGGCGAUGCUUAUCGUCUGUCAAGUCAGGACUAUGAGGCCACAUAAUGUGGAAACAAGGCAGGUACAUUUCUUCAACACUGAACAUUCUUGAUGGGCUACUGUAUGCCACAGCCUAGGAAUAAAAAUUUAAUGAAGGGUCUACCUGUGCCUCUGGAAGCUUAUAAUCUGUGGGAUAGCCAAGUAACAGGAAAUUUCAGAGCAGUGUGCUGGGUGCUGCCGUGGGGAUAGCCACAGGGUGCUAGAGUAACAGACAGUAAUGAUACCCAACUUGGUAUUAGGAAAAUCAGGAAGGUUUUCUGGAUGGAAGGGUGGUGUUUAAAUGAGACCUGAGUAGAGGCUGUCCAUGCAAAAAAGUGGAAAAUAUCAUGGCAAGCUUCCAGAGAUUUGGAAGUGUGGGAUCACUGAAUAGUUCCAUGCAUCUGGAGCAUAGAGUGGAAGAAGGGAAAGAAAUAAACAUUUUUGAGUAUGUACCAUAUACCAGACACUGUGCACUACCUAACCAAAUUCUCACACAAAUCUUUUAGAGGGUAUAAUUAUCACCAUUUAUGGUUGAAGAACAUGGCCUCAAAAGGUACCUUGAUAGGUAUCACACAGCUCAUGAGUAGUAGGUCUGGGAUUCAAAUUCAAGUCUAAUUCCAAAGACUGUGUUCUUUCUGUCCAUAGCAAUGACUCCAGAGCAAGAGGCCAGCCAAGAGAGAGCAGGCUUUAAUGAACUGGAUAGAAGCUACAGGGAGUCAGACGUGGGCUUCAGGUAACCACAUGGAGGCAGGGUAACAGCUGGCACAAGACUUCCAGGACAUGGGCAAUGAUUGGGAAGAUGUGUUGACAAACUGCCCAGGUGGUGGGGCAUGAGGCCCAAAGGUCAAAAUUUAGAAGAAUAAAAAGGCAAAAUCAAAUUUCUGUGUAGACGUUAACUGGAAUUUGAUGUGGAAGCAUAUAACUAGACAGAAGAGGGGAGGAGUUAGAAGAGACAGGGCCAAGUGCCAUGCUGAGAGGCUGAAGCUAUAGAGAAUGUGGCCAAGGAAAGAGGCUCCUCGUGAUGAGGUAUCUGAAAGACUUUAAAUAAUAGGAAUGUCCAAUAUGUAAUCAUAGGUUGUUUGGUUGCUGUCCUGUAAACUCUAAUAUUUGCCCGAAUUCUCCUGCUAAAUUCCAUCCCAUACAUCACACAAUUUUGUGUUUGAGACAGGUUCCAGUGGAAUGUCCAAACAGGAAACGGGGAAUGUUCAGUGUGGAGGGACAGGGUAUACAGAAGGGGAAGCAGGCACAGAAAAGAGAGAGAGCCCAUACAUGGAGUGAUUAGGCUCAGCCAGAGGUAGCCAGAAACACCAUAAACAACCUGCCCACAUGUCAAAGAUAAGCAGAGAGUUUCAGAGGGUUGUUAAAUGGCUCACCACAUAAGGAAUGAGAACGCAAAACAAUUUCAUUUCAAUCCUGAAAGGGCAAGUUGACCUCAGCUGAUGUGUGGCUUAUGAAAAGAAGAUAUUUCUAAUAGAGCUCCUCAAGGAUUAAGUAGGCAACCUUGGACAGCAGUUAAGUUUCCACCCCUGGUAAUAUGUAGUCAAAAAGGACACAGACUCAGGCAUGGCAGUUGUAGGACAGAUUCAGGUGUUGGAUGGGGACAGACUGCAUAACCCAUCAAGCUCCUUCCCAACACCAAGAGUCCAGCCUAAGAAAGCAAGUUGUAAGGCUCCCAAAUUAAUUAAAUAUUCAAGCAAAUCGGACUUGCAUUUGGGAAUGCACGAAUGAAGGUGUGAAUAGGAAAUUCACCCAAACAGGUUAAAACUAAAACUGAACCAUUAAUAUCCAAGAGAAGGAUACAGCUGCUUUGCUAUUCAGACAACUUUCUGAUUCAAUCCAAUCUUUCUCAUGUGCUUCCUGCUCUCCUAAUAGGUCACUUGGUUUAGACAGUCUGGGAUUUGCUUUCAGAGCAGGUGGAUAAACUUACCUGUACCAAUGGAGAUUAAGAUUUCAGCAGCCUGAAAGGUUUCAGCAACACAUCUAACCUGUUGAGGAUUUUCUUGCAUUUUGAGGUUCAUGCCCAGGCCUAGCCAUCCUUUCUCCCAGUUCAUUAGUGAUGCCCACCAGGCGGGAGGUGCUUUGAGGGAAUGAAAGUCCACCAGCUUCAAAAGAAAAGGGAAUAAAAGUGAAGCCAGAAAGAUUAACAGCAGCAAUAUAGGCAGAAACCUGGUAACAAUGAGCUUGCCUCUCCAUGGCCUGGCCAGAAAGAAGCAAGAAAAUGUUGCUUCAACCCCUAGACCGUGUGCAAGGACAGGGUACACACUAAUUGCUAAAACACAUGUUAGAAGGUUAAAAUUUUGAAUAAUUUCCUUGAUUUUCUCUCACACUGAACUCAGAACAGUACAUGCAAUUUAGAGGGAAAAAAAACCUAAGUAAAUAUGAUAUUCUGCCAAUGCUCUAAUUUUACGUGUUAGCCAGGGAUGAAGAAAGCUUGGGUACAUGAAAUUCACAGACAAACCUUACGUUUUUAAAAAGCAGACUUUAUUGGUUUGAAUUUCAGCAUGUAAGGUAUUUCUGCACCCACCCAUGGUAGGGCAACAGUGAGAAUAGCCAGAAGUCACGAAGGAGGAGGAGGCACAAAGAACAUACACUAACUACAGACUGGAUCGUCAGCCCUAAGAAAUUGACUGUAGACCUCAAAUAGUUCCUGCUAUUUGAAAUAAUAAUAAAAUUUCCCAUAUGCAACCAGUCUAGGGCCUCCAGUCUAGUGCGGCAUUCUUGGUGACAUUUUCAAAUUGUUUCAUAUGCCACAGUCCUCCACUGAGCAGGACAAAACACACCUCCGGGUGUCAAACACACAUAGAAUAGGUUUGAAAGACCACCAAGUUCAGUUCUUUCUCCCAAGUGUCCUCCCUUUGUGGAAACUUGAAGUAAAUUUACAACCCCACCUAGUAAUUCCAAAAGAUAAAAUCACAUUUAAGCUACCCCUUGGCUUUAGAAAUGUUUUUCUUCCAAGAAACUGUUCUUGCAAUAGUAAAAAAUGUUAAAGCUGACCACUCGUCCUUUUAUUUAACAAGUAUUUUUGAAUCCUUCCUCCAGGCCACCAUGCUAGACAUGGAAAAUACAAAGAUCUGUUGAUGUCUUUGAAUAGCCUUGAGUCUCUUGUUCAUGCAGACAAGAUUAAGAUUAAAUGAAUUAAUCACAAAGUGCAGAUGUACACCCUGUGCCUAAAUCUUCCCCCUGGGUAUUGGGAAGGCCUCACAGCAAAGGUGGAGCCUGAGCUGAGCAGCUGAUGGUUGAGUGGGAGUUUAUCAGAUAACAGACAGGUGAAUGGCAUUUCAGAAGGAGGGACUAGAAUGUUGCAAAGGUACCAGAGUGGGAGAGAAUAUGACAGUGGCUUGAGGAGAGUAAGUGGCACCAGGGUGAAGGUAGUACGUUGCAUGCUGUAAUCAUGCAAGUGUUUUUCUGGAA
Molecule: long non-coding RNA, 11655 nt
Organism: Sapajus apella (tufted capuchin)
Lineage: Eukaryota; Metazoa; Chordata; Mammalia; Primates; Cebidae
Exons: 2
Source: RefSeq, a predicted model, not a curated record